GGUAUCCUGUCUGAAUAUGGGGGGACCAUCCUCCAAGGCUAAAUACUCCUGACUGACCGAUAGUGAACCAGUACCGUGAGGGAAAGGCGAAAAGAACCCCGGCGAGGGGAGUGAAAAAGAACCUGAAACCGUGUACGUACAAGCAGUGGGAGCACGCUUAGGCGUGUGACUGCGUACCUUUUGUAUAAUGGGUCAGCGACUUAUAUUCUGUAGCAAGGUUAACCGAAUAGGGGAGCCGAAGGGAAACCGAGUCUUAACUGGGCGUUAAGUUGCAGGGUAUAGACCCGAAACCCGGUGAUCUAGCCAUGGGCAGGUUGAAGGUUGGGUAACACUAACUGGAGGACCGAACCGACUAAUGUUGAAAAAUUAGCGGAUGACUUGUGGCUGGGGGUGAAAGGCCAAUCAAACCGGGAGAUAGCUGGUUCUCCCCGAAAGCUAUUUAGGUAGCGCCUCGUGAAUUCAUCUCCGGGGGUAGAGCACUGUUUCGGCAAGGGGGUCAUCCCGACUUACCAACCCGAUGCAAACUGCGAAUACCGGAGAAUGUUAUCACGGGAGACACACGGCGGGUGCUAACGUCCGUCGUGAAGAGGGAAACAACCCAGACCGCCAGCUAAGGUCCCAAAGUCAUGGUUAAGUGGGAAACGAUGUGGGAAGGCCCAGACAGCCAGGAUGUUGGCUUAGAAGCAGCCAUCAUUUAAAGAAAGCGUAAUAGCUCACUGGUCGAGUCGGCCUGCGCGGAAGAUGUAACGGGGCUAAACCAUGCACCGAAGCUGCGGCAGCGACGCUGAUGCGUUGUUGGGUAGGGGAGCGUUCUGUAAGCCUGCGAAGGUGUGCUGUGAGGCAUGCUGGAGGUAUCAGAAGUGCGAAUGCUGACAUAAGUAACGAUAAAGCGGGUGAAAAGCCCGCUCGCCGGAAGACCAAGGGUUCCUGUCCAACGUUAAUCGGGGCAGGGUGAGUCGACCCCUAAGGCGAGGCCGAAAGGCGUAGUCGAUGGGAAACAGGUUAAUAUUCCUGUACUUGGUGUUACUGCGAAGGGGGGACGGAGAAGGCUAUGUUGGCCGGGCGACGGUUGUCCCGGUUUAAGCGUGUAGGCUGGUUUUCCAGGCAAAUCCGGAAAAUCAAGGCUGAGGCGUGAUGACGAGGCACUACGGUGCUGAAGCAACAAAUGCCCUGCUUCCAGGAAAAGCCUCUAAGCAUCAGGUAACAUCAAAUCGUACCCCAAACCGACACAGGUGGUCAGGUAGAGAAUACCAAGGCGCUUGAGAGAACUCGGGUGAAGGAACUAGGCAAAAUGGUGCCGUAACUUCGGGAGAAGG
Molecule: ribosomal RNA, 1316 nt
Filed under: Escherichia coli
Lineage: Bacteria; Pseudomonadati; Pseudomonadota; Gammaproteobacteria; Enterobacterales; Enterobacteriaceae
Description: bacterial LSU rRNA
Rfam family: Bacterial large subunit ribosomal RNA
Source: RNAcentral